GGGGAUGCGUGGUUUCGACAGGGCAGGCAGACGGACCACCGCGAGCCGAGGAACGCCGUUCCUCCUCGUUAAUCCGAACGGCAGGCAGACAACUGCCAACACUUCUUACGCUCUCGCUGCCUAGUCAGUGAGACGUCCUCCCGGUCUCCGCUCCGCGGGCCGGGAAGGGCG
RNAcentral lists this transfer-messenger RNA (171 nucleotides) under Chloroflexota bacterium. RNAcentral's name for it is "partial transfer-messenger RNA". It matches the Rfam family "transfer-messenger RNA", at positions 1 to 185 of the family's 374-position model. From Rfam's summary of the family: Bacterial tmRNA, also known as 10Sa RNA or SsrA, is named for its dual tRNA and mRNA-like properties. Its role is to liberate the mRNA from a stalled ribosome. Lineage: Bacteria; Bacillati; Chloroflexota. The record is from RNAcentral.